GAUGAACGCUGGCGGCGUGCCUAAUACAUGCAAGUCGAACGCUGAAGGAGGAGCUUGCUCUUCUGGAUGAGUUGCGAACGGGUGAGUAACGCGUAGGUAACCUGCCUGGUAGCGGGGGAUAACUAUUGGAAACGCUAGCUAAUACCGCAUGACAACAGUUAUUGCAUGAUAACUGUUUAAAAGGGGCAACUGCUCCACUACCAGAUGGACCUGCGUUGUAUUAGCUAGUUGGUGAGGUAACGGCGCACCAAGGCGACGAUACAUAGCCGACCUGAGAGGGUGAGCGGCCAACCUGGGACUGAGACACGGCCCAGACUCCUAAGGGAGGCAGCAGUAGGGAAUCUUCGGCAAUGGACGGAAGUCUGACCGAGCAACGCCGCGUGAGGGAAGAAGGUUUUCGGAUCGUAAAGCUCUGUUGUAAGAGAAGAACGAGUGUGAGGGUGGAAAGUUCACACUGUGACGGUAUCUUACCAGAAAGGGACGGCUAACUACGUG
This 495-nucleotide ribosomal RNA is filed under the name uncultured bacterium. Its description in RNAcentral is "partial 16S ribosomal RNA". It matches the Rfam family "Bacterial small subunit ribosomal RNA", at positions 28 to 507 of the family's 1533-position model. The record is from RNAcentral.